CCUACGGGAGGCAGCAGUGGGGGAUAUUGCACAAUGGGGGAAACCCUGAUGCAGCGACGCCGCGUGUGGGAAGACGGUCCUCUGGAUUGUAAACCACUGUCCCCAGGGACGAAGAUGACGGUACCUGGGGAGGCAGCUCCGGCUAACUACGUGCCAGCAGCCGCGGUAAUACGUAGGGAGCGAGCGUUGUCCGGAAUUACUGGGUGUAAAGGGAGCGUAGGCGGGACUGCAAGUUGGGUGUCAAAUCUACCGGCUCAACCGGUAGCCGCACUCAAAACUGCAGUUCUUGAGUGAAGUAGAGGCAGGCGGAAUUCCGAGUGUAGCGGUGAAAUGCGGAGAUAUUAGGAGGAACCCCAGUGGCGAAGGCGGCCGGCUGGGCUUUGACUGACGCUGAGGCUCGAAAGUGUGGGGAGCAAACAGGAUUAGAUACCCGGGUAGUC
This 440-nucleotide ribosomal RNA is filed under the name uncultured bacterium. RNAcentral's name for it is "partial 16S ribosomal RNA". It matches the Rfam family "Bacterial small subunit ribosomal RNA", at positions 338 to 795 of the family's 1533-position model. The record is from RNAcentral.